UGACUUUGGUUGCACAAGGGGCA
This 23-nucleotide non-coding RNA is filed under the name Arabidopsis thaliana (thale cress). Lineage: Eukaryota; Viridiplantae; Streptophyta; Magnoliopsida; Brassicales; Brassicaceae. The record is from RNAcentral.